AGCCUGUGAUGAAUCUAUUCUGCCAGAUGAGAACCCUGAUUAUACUCCUUUACCGUUCCAUUACUAUUCUGAGGUU
Paramormyrops kingsleyae is the source of this 76-nucleotide small nucleolar RNA. Ensembl annotates it as small nucleolar RNA SNORD47. Lineage: Eukaryota; Metazoa; Chordata; Actinopteri; Osteoglossiformes; Mormyridae. The record is from Ensembl.